Molecule: RNA transcript, 812 nt
Organism: Pomacea canaliculata
Lineage: Eukaryota; Metazoa; Mollusca; Gastropoda; Architaenioglossa; Ampullariidae
Exons: 5
Source: RefSeq, a predicted model, not a curated record
GACGUCAGUGCCUAUACAGGUGUGGUGCAAGUGUCGGUGGGUUGGAGGAAGACCGAUCAUGUCGCUGCUAAAUCAAAUGCGACCUUCUAUCUCGGAGAAACACACACGGAACGGGGGAGUUCGUAGUAAUUACGACCCUCACUUUAACUUGUACAAGCAUAUUACAAUCCCGGAUGUGAGGACAGUAACAGCUCACAACCAUCUACUUAGCGUGGAUCGAGUGAAACUUCUUGGGAAAGAACCGAAAACUGAGAUUUGUCUUUAUCAGACACUGCAUGGAAAGCUGGAUAAGGAUUUGAUAAAGAAGUUCUCCGAUAGCCUUUUCUGGAACUCUGCGUACAAAUCAGAGUUCAUCAACUUCUUGGGCUCGAACAUAAGGUGUGACAGUCGUACACACGAGCCGCACAGUGAUAUGUUCGCUGCUCUGGAUAAAGCACCUCCUCCUGUAGACAGGGAGGCUCAAGAGUGGCAGCAGGUUCGAGCGACCUCUAAUGGCCUUCUUCACGAAGACAAGGUCUGGGAGCCACGGAAUCCCCGCCCUUGGUUCCAGACUGACCCCAUCAGCCACGCACCUGGCAAAGGAAAGAGAAGAAGCUGCGGUCAGAUGAGGAAGAGCGAAUAGUGCAGAAUAAAAUCUGGGACCUUGUGAAGAGGAAUGACCUUUAUUAUCAAUACCGCGAAGAAAUACCAGGGUAUACCGGCUUUAAAGUGGGAAGUGUGAAUCCUAAAGACCCCCUUGGCAACCCACCUGGACACAAUCCUCUACGCGAUCAGAGUGUCAUACAUGCUGCCUACAGCCGUUACAACCCUCA